GAUGAACGCUGGCGGCGUGCCUAAUACAUGCAAGUCGAGCGAACGGACGAGAAGCUUGCUUCUCUGAUGUUAGCGGCGGACGGGUGAGUAACACGUGGAUAACCUACCUAUAAGACUGGGAUAACUUCGGGAAACCGGAGCUAAUACCGGAUAAUAUUUUGAACCGCAUGGUUCAAAAGUGAAAGACGGUCUUGCUGUCACUUAUAGAUGGAUCCGCGCUGCAUUAGCUAGUUGGUAAGGUAACGGCUUACCAAGGCAACGAUGCAUAGCCGACCUGAGAGGGUGAUCGGCCACACAGGAACUGAGACACGGUCCAGACUCCUACGGGAGGCAGCAGUAGGGAAUCUUCCGCAAUGGGCGAAAGCAUGACGGAGCAACGCCGCGUGAGUGAUGAAGGUCUUCGGAUCGUAAAACUCUGUUAUUAGGGAAGAACAUAUGUGUAAGUAACUGUGCACAUCUUGACGGUACCUAAUCAGAAAGCCACGGCUAACUACGUG
This 497-nucleotide ribosomal RNA is filed under the name uncultured bacterium. RNAcentral describes it as "partial 16S ribosomal RNA". It matches the Rfam family "Bacterial small subunit ribosomal RNA", at positions 28 to 507 of the family's 1533-position model. The record is from RNAcentral.